This 710-nucleotide long non-coding RNA is filed under the name Mytilus galloprovincialis (Mediterranean mussel). The record is from RNAcentral. Lineage: Eukaryota; Metazoa; Mollusca; Bivalvia; Mytilida; Mytilidae.
GUUAUGUUUAUUAAUAAAUCUAGUAUAUAGAAAAAAAGCGAACGACCUUACAGUGCAUAAGUAUCGGCAUAAAAAUUAUCAAUUACGUUCAUCGCAUCCCAAACUAUAUCAUGUACAUGAAUUAUACUAGUAAAGAUAAAUAAAAUAAUACAUUAAAAACAUGUAUUACAAACUGACAAACAUGUAAAUCUGGCUACAUGUCUCAAAAUACUGGCAAUUUUGUAUGUAGCUAAAGAAUUGAUUACAAAAUUAAUUUAUUCCAAACCAAUCACCAUGACGAAAAAAUAAUUAAAAGUAGUUUAGCAUGAGUUUCAUGACGAAGCAUAAAACAAUACAGAGAUCAUAGACCAAGCUACUACGACCUCUGUAAAAAUAUAACAUGCGUUUCAUGACGAAGCAUAAAACAAAACCCACUACAUAUUAACUUUACAAAAGCAAAUACACAGAGGUCAUAGACCAAGCUACUACGACUUCUGAAAGAGUAGCAUGAGUUUCAUGACGAAGCAUAAAACAAUACAGAGAUCAUAGACCAAGCUACUACGACCUCUGCAAAACCAAAGCAGCAUGAGUUUCAUGACGAAGCAUAAAACAAUACCCACUACAUACUACAAUAUUUGCAAAAGUAAAUACACAGAGGUCAUAGACCAAGCUACCACAACCUCUGAGAAAAAUAAUACACAGAGGACAUAAGUACAAGCAACCACGCCCUC